CAAACUGUCCGACUGUGAGAAUUCCUAACGGGUUUCUGAACGCGUCCUUUGCUGCCGAGAAGAUUUCGGCAACAUGUGACAGCGGACAUUUUCUGACCGGAUAUGCCAAUUGUACGCAAAAUGGCGAAUGGGUAUAUAGGGGGCUAUUGUGCCACAGCCAUUCAUGCGUGUUUGGCACGAUCCAGACCGGUACACAGAAGUGCUCAUGCAACGGGGACUUCAAAGGGGACUCCUGUGACCGGUAUACAUGCUGGGGAAAGCAGCUUCGAAUAGCUCCAUCGCGCAAACAGGUGGACUACAUACAAGCCAUUGCCACCUGCAAGGCACUCGAUGGCAAUAGCGGGAUUUGGACCCUGAUGCCCAGGGAAUUUCAAUCGUGCGCACAGGUGUUCCUGCAAAAGCUUGGCUUCGGAGCAGAGAGUCCAGUGCUGGCCGACUUUGUCAAUUCGUAUGGAGGUGGUGUCCUGUACAAUAAUGGCAGCUUUGACCCGACCGGAAUUGCUACC
This is a long non-coding RNA of Sycon ciliatum, 506 nucleotides long. RefSeq lists it as uncharacterized. Lineage: Eukaryota; Metazoa; Porifera; Calcarea; Leucosolenida; Sycettidae. The record is from RefSeq and is a predicted model, not a curated record. The transcript has 3 exons.